GUAAUUUCCAUCAUUAUAAUAUUGCACUGAGUAUUUUCACUGCCCUAAUAAUCCUCUGUGUUUUGCCUGUUUAUCCCCCUCCCAUCC
This is a long non-coding RNA of Mustela erminea (ermine), 87 nucleotides long. RefSeq lists it as uncharacterized. The record is from RefSeq and is a predicted model, not a curated record. The transcript is spliced from 3 exons. NCBI's taxonomy places the organism in Eukaryota, Metazoa, Chordata, Mammalia, Carnivora, Mustelidae.